CAGUCCAUGCUUUGGUCUUCCUCUACCAGCACUGCUCACAAAGCUUUGUCUUCCUCCACCACUGACCACAUAUCCCUUGGUCUUUCAGCCUGCUCAGCCCCUCAGAACCCAGACUUUCAUCGACCACCAUCUCCCUCCCCUCCAGCCAAGUGAAAUCCUCUGGAUCUCAGCCGGGCUUCAGAUGGAGGAGCUGAGAGAACAGCAUCAACUCAGCCCAGGAAAAAGGCAGAUAUCUGAAGAGCAGAACGCUG
Gallus gallus (chicken) is the source of this 251-nucleotide long non-coding RNA. Lineage: Eukaryota; Metazoa; Chordata; Aves; Galliformes; Phasianidae. The record is from Ensembl.